ACAACAUUUGGACCGUCAAUCUAUCGAGCAAUAACACCCGCUCGGUGGACGAUCUUUCGUCGU
RNAcentral lists this microRNA precursor (63 nucleotides) under Bombyx mori (domestic silkworm). RNAcentral describes it as "mir-2774 microRNA precursor family". It matches the Rfam family "mir-2774 microRNA precursor family". The record is from Rfam by way of RNAcentral. Lineage: Eukaryota; Metazoa; Arthropoda; Insecta; Lepidoptera; Bombycidae.